This is a long non-coding RNA of Gasterosteus aculeatus (three-spined stickleback), 837 nucleotides long. The record is from Ensembl. NCBI's taxonomy places the organism in Eukaryota, Metazoa, Chordata, Actinopteri, Perciformes, Gasterosteidae.
GUAAGUCGCUUUGGAUAGAAGCGUCUGCUAAAUGACAUGACAUGUAAUGUAAUAAAUUUUAAUACAGUUCAUGACUGUUACGUAUUUAACUAUGAAGGUUUUGUUUUUCAUUUAAAAUAAAUAUGAAGAUAAAUAUUCCCCUUAACCUUCAAGAACAGCACUCGGGUACAUUUACUUUGACUUUCCACCACUAUUAAAUGCCGGAGUCUUGAUGACCCCCAUGUUACAGUCCUUUAAUUAAAACAUUGUUACUUUUAAUGCACAAUGAUAGACAAUAACAAGCCUGCACACUGUAGAUAAACUUUCACUUUGAAGAGUACUCGGGUGCGACUGAUGUUGUACGAGUCCACACAAGGACGCAUGUUGAGAAAGGGCCAAAGAUUGAAGAUUAUGGUUCACUGAGGGCCUCUAACCCAAUGUGCCCCCGGGCCUGUGCCUGAAAGGAACCUUCAGUGAUCUAUUCAAAUCCCUACUACGUAACAAAUCCUUGUUUGUCUCAGAUCAGGAAAGAGUCCUACAGAAAUCUGUACAUGUGUUGGACUUCGGGGGGGUUCCUCUGGUGCUGACUGUGAGAAGCACCCCGGGACCUUCCACCGACCCUCCCAUCACAAAAUUGGACCCGACAUCGUCACAGCAGACACAGCCGUCCAGUCUGACCUCAAGCCGGCUAACAAGUGACGAAGAAUAUGAACUGCGACAUGAUCCUCACCUGCUGCGUUAUCUGACCGAGUGCCCCCCUGCUAUGAAAGAACUAGACAAGGGACUGGCCUCUGUGGCCUGCUCGGCCCAGCUGUACCCAGAGGAGGACCGGGUUCUAGUUAGCCGGUUAGCUCAAGC